This is a small nucleolar RNA of Neoarius graeffei (lesser salmon catfish), 70 nucleotides long. RefSeq annotates it as small nucleolar RNA SNORD18. The record is from RefSeq and is a predicted model, not a curated record. The transcript has a single exon. Lineage: Eukaryota; Metazoa; Chordata; Actinopteri; Siluriformes; Ariidae.
CUACAAUGAUGAGCUUCUACUUUUGGUCUGUGUUUAUGAAAUGCCAUGAAUUAUCUCAAGUUCUGAGUCU